This 514-nucleotide small RNA is filed under the name Pan troglodytes (chimpanzee). RNAcentral's name for it is "processed transcript". The record is from RNAcentral. Lineage: Eukaryota; Metazoa; Chordata; Mammalia; Primates; Hominidae.
CGCGCCCGCCCAUCCCCCGCUGCCCUUUUUCUCCUGGCCGGGUGCGAGGGAGCAUGCCCGCGCCUGGCCUCGGCCAGCGAAGAGUUAACCUGAGGGGCGAGCCGCUGCCCCCACCUCGGGGGCGUGCCCCCCUCCCCCGCUAGGCGGCCCGCCCCCCGCGCCAGGGUAUGGCCCCUGGCCCCGGCCCGGGACCCGAGGUCCCGCGCCCGGGUCAGUGAAAGGCGUCUUCCCGUUCCCGCCCUCUGCCUCCUCUCGCCGGCCAGCAACAUGGGAUGUAAUAUGUGCGUGGUCCAGAAACCGGAGGAGCAGUACAAAGUGAUGCUGCAGGAGGUGGAGCUGUAUAAAAGCAGCCACCGGGACAAGCUGGGCCUGAUGGUUUGCUACCGCACGGACGACGAGGAGGACCUGGGCAUUUAUGUCGGAGAGGUAAAUCCCAACAGCAUUGCAGCCAAAGACGGCCGGAUCCGUGAGGGAGACCGCAUCAUCCAGAUUAACGGUGUAGACGUCCAGAACC